Peromyscus maniculatus bairdii (prairie deer mouse) is the source of this 2365-nucleotide non-coding RNA. The record is from RefSeq and is a predicted model, not a curated record. Lineage: Eukaryota; Metazoa; Chordata; Mammalia; Rodentia; Cricetidae.
CAUCUCAGACACCUGCACUCAGGCCUGUGGUCCUAAUCAUCCUCUAUGUGGACCUGCUGGGUAAAGCCACGAGGAACCCAAGAAUGGGCUCCCACAGGACAUACAGAACAUCCCACAGCACUUGGAUGCCAGUGUGUACUCAUGGCCUGCCCUCCUGGACCUCCUGUCACGUCUCGGGACCUUCUUGGGUCAUUCUUUUCUCAUCCACUGUUCCUGAAUUUCCUGUUCCUCUUUGUUCUCACUCUGCUUCCCAUGUUUGAACUCCUUUCACUAAGCCUGUCCCAUGUUGCUGUUCUUCCUAUGGAACCCUGGCCCUCAACUUACCCAGUGUCUGCUCUUUAUGUUUCCCAAACCACCUGUGCCCCUCAUUUUUCUCUCACCGAGGCCCUCUAGACAUGAAUAUUCCCUCCUCUGUCGGAUCAUGUAUUUCUUGUUUGUUUACUUCAGCUUUGUUUGUUUCUUUGAGACUGAGCCUCACAUAGUCCAGGCUAGAUUCUGAUUUGCUGUAUAGCAGAUGAUGGCCAUGAAAUCUUGAAUCUUCUGCUUCCACCUCCCAAGUGCUGGGAUUACAGGGAUGUGCCACUACCUUGGCCAGAUGGUAUUUUUACAAAACACUAUCAUAAUAACGUCUUCCAUCCAACAUGUACACAGUGUCAAUCUGACUACCCUGUUGAAAGGUGAGUCUGUGUCCCUACUUUCUCCAAGUUCAAUGGGAUUUUAUCUUAGUUUCAAUGGGUAAAAUAAUAACCGAAGCAAUGUGAUGUUUGAGGCCACACUAAAAGCAGUAGAGCGUCUACAUUGCUUAUCUGAAUGCUUGUUCUUGAAGCUGUCCUCUGUCAUUUAGUAAAUUAAGUCAUAUUGAGGCCAAUAUACUAUGAGAAAAAACAAUUGAGCCAAUGCAGAGGUCCAGAGAUUAACAUUGAAGACAUGAAGAUUGAUCCAGGACAUCAUUCCUAUGGUUGUGAUUCUGGUUAAACCUCAUCAGCUGUAAGGAAAACUAAUUCCACAGCCACUCAGAUGAUCCUUCCCAAGUCCCUGACUUAACAUGAACCUUGGAAGGUAACAGUAACUCUAGAACAUUAAAAGUUAUCUUGAUUUGUUGUGUUGCAGCAACAAGUAACUAGAAUAUUCUCCCUCGUCUGCACCAACCAUGCCUCUUCCCCUGUGAUGUAUUACUCAUGGAUCUUGCCAAGUCCUUAAACUCUAGGGGGUGGUUAGAGGUGGGAAAGACCCACCUGCAAGCUUAGUGCUUUAGGGUGAGGUUGUGGGGCGGUUGGACAAAUCCUCCUCACUGAUGGCCAUGGCUUAGGUCUAGCCAAGAUUGGGUUAGGCGUUCCAGUGAGGCAUUCCUGCCCGUCAAUGGCAGUUUGCUCAUCUUUGGCCUGCCUUUUGUUAGGAGGUGCAUAAAAGAAAUAAAGUCUAAUUGAUGAUACUUUUGUUAAAAGGAUGUAUAGACAAGUACCAUUUACACCCAGAAAUGACACCAGGACACCUGUGCUGCUACAUCCUGGAAAAUGACACAGAAGUUCAUUCUUCCUGGUGCCUAUCAUUCAGUUUAGUCCAUCACCCUGUGAGACCUGCACCCAGCCCUGUCUUACUGGCUUUGAAGACAUCACAGAGGUAGUCUGAUGGUGUCAUCUUUGCCAGGAUGCAGAGGGAAUCUGGAUUCUUAACAAGGACUCCGGGCCUCUGUGGACAGAAAUCCAGGCCUUGGCAUGGAGCGUGCGGAGCGCUCCGAGGUGUGGUGUGAAAACAUCUGAAUUCUAACCUUGAAGCAAGUGGUGACAAUCAAAAUGAUGCCCAAAACAGUUUAAUGAUGUUGGACAUCACUGGUUCUUCACAUAUAGGAAGAUGUGUACAAUUCCUAACAGAAGAGAAAAAUCAUACAGUGAUACCCAAUUUGCUGUUUGGGGCUCAGCUCAUCAGAGGAUGGACCUUCCUGCUGCCACACAGACCUUAAAAUUUCAUCUUGAAGUGACCUCUUUCUUCAACUGACCCACAAAACACAGAACACCACAACACCUAGACAUUGAAGAAAUCAUAGUAGAGAAGAGUGAUUGCUUUCUAUGAUUUAAAGAAUUGUUUUUCUGAAGGAGUUUUUUAUCCAUUACGUGACUUUAGUCACAAGACUAUCCAGGCGUGCUUGGGGUAUUGAGUUAUUGGGUACUGCAAACAGUAUACAAUAAGGACUAAAGGUUGUGGGAGUGUGAUGAUUUCCUUCAAGGAACAUAUAGAAUAGAUUAAAGGGGCUUUGGUAUGAGGAACUUGUUGUACCCCAAACACAACCUUUGUGUAUAAUAAAUGAAUAUGCUUCUGAAUGGAAGUUCGAGGUUCAGUUCACAGAAACUGUUCCUCCCUGCUGCCA